RNAcentral lists this ribosomal RNA (615 nucleotides) under uncultured bacterium. RNAcentral's name for it is "bacterial SSU rRNA". It matches the Rfam family "Bacterial small subunit ribosomal RNA", at positions 122 to 770 of the family's 1533-position model. The record is from RNAcentral.
GAAUCUAGCUUNAGGUCGGGGACAACCACUGGAAACGGUGGCUAAUACCGGAUGUGCCGAAAGGUGAAAGANUUAUUGCCUAGAGAUGAGCUCGCGUCUGAUUAGCUAGUAGGUGUGGUAAGAGCGCACCUAGGCGACGAUCAGUAGCUGGUCUGAGAGGAUGAUCAGCCACACUGGGACUGAGACACGGCCCAGACUCCUACGGGAGGCAGCAGUGGGGAAUUUUCCGCAAUGGGCGAAAGCCUGACGGAGCAAUACCGCGUGAGGGAGGAAGGCUCUUGGGUUGUAAACCUCUUUUCUCAGGGAAGAAAUCAAUGACGGUACCUGAGGAAUNAGCAUCGGCUAACUCCGUGCCAGCAGCCGCGGUAAUACGGAGGAUGCAAGCGUUAUCCGGAAUGAUUGGGCGUAAAGCGUCCGCAGGUGGCUAUGUAAGUCUGCUGUUAAAGAGUGAGGCUCAACCUCAUAAGAGCAGUGGAAACUACAUAGCUAGAGUGCGUUCGGGGCAGAGGGAAUCCUGGUGUAGCGGUGAAAUGCGUAGAGAUCAGGAAGAACACCGGUGGCGAAAGCGCUCUGCUAGGCCGCAACUGACACUGAGGGACGAAAGCUAGGGGAGCG